AUACGUAGGUGGCAAGCGUUGUCCGGAAUUACUGGGUGUAAAGGGCGUGUAGGCGGGGAUGCAAGUCAGAUGUGAAAUUCCGGGGCUCAACCCCGGCACUGCAUCUGAAACUGUGUCUCUUGAGUGCUGGAGAGGAAAGCGGAAUUCCUAGUGUAGCGGUGAAAUGCGUAGAUAUUAGGAGGAACACCAGUGGCGAAGGCGGCUUUCUGGACAGUAACUGGCGCUGAGGCGCGAAAGCGUGGGUAGCGAGCAGGAUUAGAUGCCCUGGUAGUCCACGCCGUAAACGAUGGAUACUAGGUGUAGGAGGUAUCGACCCCUUCUGUGCCGGAGUUAACACAAUAAGUAUCCCACCUGGGGAGUACGGCCGCAAGGUUGAAACUCAAAUGAAUUGGCGGG
RNAcentral lists this ribosomal RNA (396 nucleotides) under uncultured bacterium. RNAcentral describes it as "partial 16S ribosomal RNA". It matches the Rfam family "Bacterial small subunit ribosomal RNA", at positions 523 to 917 of the family's 1533-position model. The record is from RNAcentral.